CCCUACGGGGCGCAGCAGGCGCGAAAACUUCACACUGUGCGAAAGCACGAUGAGGGAAUCCCAAGUGCUGGCUCGUAAGAGUCAGCUGUUUUUCUGUCUAGAAAACAGAGAGAGUAAGAGCUGGGUAAGACGGGUGCCAGCCGCCGCGGUAAUACCUGCAGCUCAAGUGGUGGCCGCUAUUAUUGGGCCUAAAACGUUCGUAGCCGGUCUAGUAAAUGCCUGGGYAAAUCAUACGGCUUAACCGUACGAAUUCCGGGUAGACUGCUGGACUUGGGACUGGGAGAGGCUAGAGGUACUCCUGGGGUAGAGGUGAAAUCCUGUAAUCC
This 326-nucleotide ribosomal RNA is filed under the name uncultured archaeon. Its description in RNAcentral is "bacterial SSU rRNA". It matches the Rfam family "Archaeal small subunit ribosomal RNA", at positions 321 to 648 of the family's 1478-position model. The record is from RNAcentral.